AGCGUAGGAGGUCUGCAGGCAAAUCCGCAGACGCAUCUCCAAGGCAAAGACACGUGCCGCCACGGCGGCGAAGUGAUCGGAAGUGCUUCCAAGAAAAGCCUCUAAGCACCAGUCUGAUGCGGACCGUACCGCAAACCGACACUGGUGGGCGAGCUGAAUAUGCUCAGGCGCUUGAGAGAACUCGGGAGAAGGAACUCGGCAAAUUGACACCGUAACUUCGGAAGAAGGUGUGCCGUAGUACCGUGAGAGGAGAGACACCUUGAGCGGGAAACGGUCUCAGAGAAUAGGUGGCUGCGACUGUUUAUUAAAAACACAGCACUCUGCAAAGUCGAAAGACGACGUAUAGGGUGUGAUGCCUGCCCGGUGCUGGAAGAUUAAUUGAUGGGGUGAGAGCCCUUGAUCGAAGUCCCAGUAAACGGCGGCCGUAACUAUAACGGUCCUAAGGUAGCGAAAUUCCUUGUCGGGUAAGUUCCGACCUGCACGAAUGGCAUAACGAUGGCCACACUGUCUCCUCCCGAGACUCAGUGAAGUUGAAAUGUUUGUGAUGAUGCAAUCUACCCGCGGCUAGACGGAAAGACCCCAUGAACCUUUACUGCAGCUUUGCAUUGAACUGUGAACCGAUUUGUGUAGGAUAGGUGGGAGGCAGAGAAGAGGCCACGCCAGUGGUCUUGGAGCCGACCUUGAAAUACCACCCUGAUUUGUUUGCGGUUCUAACCACGGACAGUGAUCCUGUCUUGGGACCGUGCAUGGUAGGCAGUUUGACUGGGGCGGUCUCCUCCUAAAGGGUAACGGAGGAGUACGAAGGUACGCUAGGUACGGUCGGAAAUCGUGCUGAUAGUGCAAUGGCAAAAGCGUGCUUGACUGCGAGAGCAACAACUCGAGCAGAUGCGAAAGCAGGUCAUAGUGAUCCGGUGGCUCUGAAUGGAAGGGCCAUCGCUCAACGGAUAAAAGGUACUCUGGGGAUAACAGGCUGAUACCGCCCAAGAGUUCAUAUCGACGGCGGUGUUUGGCACCUCGAUGUCGGCUCAUCUCAUCCUGGGGCUGUAGUCGGUCCCAAGGGUAUGGCUGUUCGCCAUUUAAAGAGGUACGUGAGCUGGGUUUAAAACGUCGUGAGACAGUUUGGUCCCUAUCUGCCGUGGGCGUUGGAAGAUUGACGGGGGCUGCUCCUAGUACGAGAGGACCGGAGUGGACGCACCUCUGGUGUACCGGUUGUCACGCCAGUGGCAUUGCCGGGUAGCUAAGUGCGGAAGAGAUAACCGCUGAAAGCAUCUAAGCGGGAAACUUGCCUGAAGAUGAGUCUUCCCGGAGGUUGAACCUCCCUCAAGAGUCGUCCGAGACCAGGACGUCGAUAGGUCAGGUGUGUAAGCGCUGUAAGGCGUUGAGCUAACUGAUACUAAUUGCUCGUGAGGCUUGAUCCU
Molecule: ribosomal RNA, 1418 nt
Filed under: Parasutterella excrementihominis YIT 11859
Lineage: Bacteria; Pseudomonadati; Pseudomonadota; Betaproteobacteria; Burkholderiales; Sutterellaceae
Description: bacterial LSU rRNA
Rfam family: Bacterial large subunit ribosomal RNA
Source: RNAcentral